This is an RNA transcript of Lycium barbarum (goji berry), 3867 nucleotides long. RefSeq lists it as uncharacterized. The transcript has 2 exons. NCBI's taxonomy places the organism in Eukaryota, Viridiplantae, Streptophyta, Magnoliopsida, Solanales, Solanaceae. The record is from RefSeq and is a predicted model, not a curated record.
UUCCCUCUUAGUUUUUCCCAACACUCCACUAAGACCACCCACACCCCCAACCCCAACCGCAAAUAAAAGCAAAAUCCCUCAUGUUAUCUCUGUUGUGCUUUCCCCAACCGACCAUCCGCAACCCUCAAAUAAAAGAAAGAAACACCCUUAUUUUCUAUACAAAAUUUACAGUUACUGAGCACGGAGCAACUCCACGAAGAACCGCAAACGAUUCUGGAAUCCUCACUGCGACUAAUCUUCCGUUUCCAUUGAAGUGGUCUUAUGGUUUCGUUCUCCUUCUCAUCAAGUUAAGUUUUCUGCCAAGUAUCUAAACUUCUAGUUGUAACUGUUGUAGAAUUGAGAAUUCCUUUAUUGUUCCAGUUAUUUCUCUUGGUAUUUAUCAAAUAUAUUGGUUUUUUUCUUAGAAUUGCAUAUUUGCUUAUAUAAUUACAUCCAGCUUUUUAGAGCAUUACGAUUAAUGUGCAGCAGUCGCUUAUUUUUUUCCUCUGACUUAUUGUGCGCCUUUUUUGAUGAUAUAACUAUGGAAAGAGUUAAUGGUAUUAUUUGAUUAAUAUUUUUAGUUAAUUAAACUUAAUAAUUGGGGUUUACCAAAGAUGUUUUUGCUCGCAGUUUCACUAAUAAUUUCACUAUAUUUAUCCCUUAAAUGGGACAAAUCGUUAUGGAGUUUGGGGAUACUAACACCUUCCUAAUACAUAGAGGUUCAUAUUGUUAGUAAAGACGCUACUCAGUAUAAUAUAAAUUUGCUUAAAUAUCUGUGACUUUUAAGGUGUGUCUCUUGAUACUUAAUGUUAUUAGCAAGGUGGCUAUUAUGUGCCCAAUAAAUAGUUGUACUGAUGGAGGUAUCUGAAAGGAGAGGUAUGUGAUCCCUACUUGGUAAAAGAUGAAAGGAUUAUUAGAUAGAAAAGGAGAAGCUACGAUCCAACUUUAAUUGCGAAAUUUGAUCUCUUAUAUUUAAUGCCAAAAAGUCCCUUCCCUUUGCCAAAUCCCCAAUUGCAGGUAAUCGAUUAAGAUGUUUUGCUGGCCUCGUCAGCAAGUUGCAUUCUGGAAAGUCAUAGCACCUUCGCUAGGUAAUCAGUCAACCUUGCUGUAAAGGAAAAUCCUUUGAUUGAUAAAGUAUGAACAGGUAUGUGAGUGUUAAUGUGGUUUAUCUUCCGUGAUUGAACUCCUAAUUGUUUUUCAUCUGUGCUCGCCAUUUAAUUUUUGACACUAGAAUUGUGGUUCAGAUGAUCCACGAAAAUGUAAAAAUGUUUAAUCCCCACAAAUGCACCUCCUUUAUUUCUAUUAAUAUCAGAGUUGUCUACGUCAAUUUAUAAUCUAAUGGUGGAACCAUACGUUUUUACUUUGAAGAGUUUUCUUUAAGUUUUUGGAUAACAAUGGUUUGGUGCAUUUUCUUUUCAAUUAGACAAUACUCAAGUUUGCUAUUCCCUUAUCGUGGUAAAAUAAGGCAUUUUCAAUUUUCACUAUAUAUGCAGUACACUAAGAUAUCAUCAUUUGUUAACAUAGAAAUGCUUAUACGUGGAAAAUGUUAACUUUGAUUGGGCGCCGACACGUUUUAUCAGUUGGUGGUAGCAUUCAGAAAAUCUUGCCACCUACGAGCAACAGGAUUCUCUUGAAGGUCUGCAUUUCAAUAUUGGACAGGAUUCAUGACAAAGAGGGGAGAUCAAGUUUGUCAACCAAAGGUACUUUUUGCUGAGAAUGGAUCUUAUUAUUCUUGUCUAUGCAGGACCUUUUCUGAGGUCUGUUGCUUCGGUAAUGGCUCAUCUUAGAGUAUUGGAAUUUCCAUUUCUAAAAUGUUUUGUGAGAUUCUAGUGUUUGGGUUUAUUCUAACCAAAAGCGGGUUCAUGUCGUGCUUUUCUGUUUUCUUUUGGUACAUCUAGUCGCUCUCACCUUAUGACUCAGAGUCCCACGUUGUUGACAUUGAUAAUUUUGACGAUGAACUUGAGGAAGCUAACACCACUCCUGUGAGUUACUUCUUCACAAAGUCUUUAUGCUCUUGGAUAUAUACUUUCUGGUUGUAUAUCAUGUUAAUUCUCUAUUUUUCCAAUGACAUUUAGCUGAAUUAAAAGCUAAUAAUGAACAUCAAGAAAUUUUAGUGGAGUUUUUUUGCUUUGCGUUUACCGUGAAUUUCUUAGGAUUCAACUUCUGUAUUUCUUGAUCUCCGAAAUAUCUUGCUAGUUGGCUUAGAUUUGGGUUUAGAGGGACAGUUAUUUAAUUAUUUAUUUAUUCUUUCUGCAGUUUUGGAGAGGGGGUUUGGCAUAUACAAGGUAUUCAAUUAUGUGAAGAAUAUGUAACUAAAUGACAAUGGUACUUGUCUCCCACAUAACCUAUCAAGUAAGAAAAAACUGUCAAAUGACUUAGUAUAAUCUUUCUUAAAUCAAGCUUUAUCAAAAGCAAAACUGGAAUAGCUCAUUCUUCAUUCACAUUGGUGCUAAACUAGCUUAAUGGCCCAUUAUUAAGUCAGUCUCCUUGCCACAAUUAAAUGUACCUUUUUUUAAGUCAGUCUCCUUGCUAAAAGCAGUCAGUUUUGGGCAGCACCUCUUAAAUAACAGAGCAAUCAUUUAUAUUUUUUCAAAACUGAAACAUUUGUUGUGGUUUGGUUCUAUUGUACUUGGGGCUGCUGGAAGCUUAGCCUUGUUUAGGACCUGUUUCUUUUUGUUUGUCUAAGCAAACAAUUUUAUUUGCCUAACAUUAGUUUUAGACUAGUCAAACAAUGCAGAGACUAGCUGAUAAUGAAUUAAUCCUACCUUGAAAAAGCUAGUAGAAAAGUCCAUUUCUCCAACACCAAUUUACCAUCAGUUUCUGAGUUUCUAAACUUCAAGAGAUUCGUUGAGAUUUUCUAUCAUUUGUAUUCAUUGUUAAACUUGCAAAUAAUACCUGUAUUAGUUUGUUUAUCAUGUCCUUUAGCUUGAGGAAUUCCUUGCUUUAUUUUUUCCAAACAUAUAGGUUAAAAGUAUAAUGUGAGGAAUUAAGAGAUCAUUUAGGUCCCGACUCUUUUCUGUUAGCAUCUUCUUGGUGUCAAUGAUGUGAAAUACAACAUAAUUAACUUUUUACUAUUCCAUUUCCCUAUACAACUUAAAACUGUUAAAAGCUAAAUUCGAUCUAGCUUUGUCUAAAUUAUAGUAAUCAUUUGCUCCUCGUGUCUCUUGAUUCACUUUCUAUUCCCGAAAAGUCGAAAACUAAGUGAUAAAGGUUUUGUGAAAUCUUCUAAGAUGUUAAUGGGUAAAAGGAUUGGGGUUGGUUGAAUAUAUUUUCCUCACUUUCUAUUAAUGUUCUAUUUUUUUCUGUAGGAUCUUAUAAGCACACCCUCUAUGUGUUCCUGGAGUUUGCGCUACUGUUUGUGAUUGGACUAAUGUAUGCAUAUUUGACUGUCAAUUACCUUUAUGGUUCCUAUCUACACUGGCGGAUAUAAUUGAGCUUUGUCGGAAAAUUACACUGUGUAGCUAGGUAAAAAAAAUUAUUUUUAUGUAUAUAUAUUACAUAUUGACACUUCUUGGCUUUUUCGUGAAUUUACUUCUUUAUAUUUUGACACCACUUAGUGAAAAUUCUGGUUCCGCCACUGCCUAUCUACAUAGGAUUUACCUGGAGAAGCAUGGAAGAUGCAGUUACUGGGUGUAGCUUGUUUGUCACUUGCCUGCUAAAAUGGAGGCGAUUGAAGUUAGUGUAAAGCUACAGGCAAAUGCAUGUUCAUCUUGCUCGUUCUUUUUAGGAGCUGUUUGAAGUUCAAAUUUGUAAAUGCUACAGUGGAGUUAGUAGCCGAAGAAAUAAUUUCACAUAAUCGGAAGAUAUAUGUUUUUUAGCAUUGGGACACUUUAUUUCUUUUGUAAUUAACUAUGAAAUUCUAUAUAAUAAUUGAUUAUUUUCGGAUUA